CAGUCGCCGCGGUAAUACGAAGGGGGCUAGCGUUGCUCGGAAUGACUGGGCGUAAAGGGCGCGUAGGCGGAUCACGCAGUCAGAUGUGAAAUUCCUGGGCUUAACCUGGGGGCUGCAUUUGAGACGCGUGGUCUAGAGUGUGAAAGAGGGUCGUGGAAUUCCCAGUGUAGAGGUGAAAUUCGUAGAUAUUGGGAAGAACACCGGUGGCGAAGGCGGCGACCUGGUUCAUAACUGACGCUGAGGCGCGAAAGCGUGGGGAGCAAACAGGAUUAGAUACCCGCGUAGUCCCUGUCUCUUAUAC
Molecule: ribosomal RNA, 301 nt
Filed under: uncultured bacterium
Lineage: Bacteria
Description: partial 16S ribosomal RNA
Rfam family: Bacterial small subunit ribosomal RNA
Source: RNAcentral